GGAGGGGUGACUGAGUGGUUUAAAGUACCGGUCUUGAAAACCGGCGUGGGUUUAUAGCCCACCCAGGGUUCGAAUCCCUGCCCCUCCGCCA
Molecule: transfer RNA, 91 nt
Filed under: Endozoicomonas sp. OPT23
Lineage: Bacteria; Pseudomonadati; Pseudomonadota; Gammaproteobacteria; Oceanospirillales; Endozoicomonadaceae
Description: tRNA-Ser
Rfam family: tRNA
About the family: Transfer RNA (tRNA) molecules are approximately 80 nucleotides in length.
Source: RNAcentral